RNAcentral lists this long non-coding RNA (2026 nucleotides) under Homo sapiens (human). RNAcentral describes it as "non-protein coding LINC01124:1". The record is from RNAcentral. Lineage: Eukaryota; Metazoa; Chordata; Mammalia; Primates; Hominidae.
ACACCCUCGGAUUGACGUGCGCACGCGCACCGGUUACCUUCAGGAGCGCCGAAGAAGGAAAGAAGAACACAGAGCCCGAGGCAAAGCUUAAGUGCUUACGCUUUUGUCGGGAGGUACAGACCCAGCUCUGCGAGAGCCAGGGGAAAAGGAAGAGAGGCAGGGAAGGAAUGGCAGCAAGUACAAGGUGAUGAAUGACUGCACUGGCCAUUGCUUCAUGAAGAGCCACGAAAAAACAGAGCCGGUUUCUCAGCAGGUGGCUGGCUGCUCAGUCACAAAGGACCUCUUUGGACAGGCUUUAUGGAAAUACUGUGCCUAGGACAGUCGCUCAAAGGCAGGAGGGAGAGAAAAUGCAUCUGCAAGCUCACUUUGUCUUCUUUCUUCUGCUGGUCAAAAUUUGCUGGCUGGGGCAGUUAACGCCCUCACACAUCCGAGUUGUGUCACCUGGCCCCUUUGGUAGCCACUGGGGAAGCCAGAUCUAGGCAUGUGGCCUGAUGGCUCCUGCGGUGGAACCACAUGCUCACACUCAGUCAGUCACCACUGGGAUGCCCUGGGCAGGGCAGGCUGAGUGGCUGGGAGAUAGCUGAGCCUAAGAUAUCUAAGCAAGCACCUGUGAUGUAUGCACUGCAGUGUCCAAAUGUGAAAAAGCAAGAAAGGGAGAUAGAAGCAUAUUUUUUUCUGGAGAGAAGGAGGAAACCACCAGGAGAAUACAAACAGAAAAAAGACAUGCUCAUCAUGCCCUGCAAACUCCUAUGAACUGGAACUACAGCAGCUGUUCUGCCAGGGACAGGUUCUUCUCUAAAGUUCCAGCUCUCUGGAGGGAGAAAGCCCUGACUUUGGAUGGAGUUGAGCUCUGUCGCCCAGGCUGGAGUGCAGUGGCACCAUCUCAGCUGACUGUGACCUCCGCCUCCUGGGUUCAAGUGAUUCUCCUGCAUCAGCCUCCCGAGUAGCUGGGACUACAGGUGCACACCACCAUGCCCGGCUAAUUUUUGUAUUUUUAGUAGAGACGGGGUUUUGCCAUGAUGGCCAGGUUUGGUCUCAAACUCCUAACCUCAAGUGAUCCACCCUCCUCAGCCUCCCAAAGUGCUGGGAUUACAGGCGUGAGCCACUGCGCCCCGCCUACUUGAAUUUUUUUUUUUUUUUUUUUUUUUGAGACAGAGUUUUGCUCCUGUUGCCCAGGCUGGAGUGCAACGGCAUGAUCUCGACUCACUGCAACCUCUGCCUCCUGGGUUCAAGUGAUUCUCCUGCCUCAGCCUCCCAAAUAGCUGGGAUUACAGGUGCCCACCACUGUGCCUGGCUGAUUGUAUUUUUAGUAGAGAUGGGGUUUCAUCAUGUUGGUCAGGCUGGUCUUGAACUCCAGACCUCAGGUGAUCGGACUGCCUCGGCCUCCCAAAGUGCUGGGAUUACAGGCAUGACCCACUGUGCCCGGACCUGCUUGAAUUUUUAUGAUGAGCAUGUUGGCAGAUCACGACUGCCAGCUCCGUGACAGCAAGAACCUUGUAUGACUUUUUCAUGAUGGAUGUUCAUCUGUGCCAUCUGUAAAUAUUGAAUAAAUAUUUGUGGAAUACAUGAAUCUAAAAGUGAAUGGAAUGAUAAAGAGGGAAAGGGUCAUGACAUCUACUACAGCAUUUGGCACAGACCCAGCUGUCUGCAGUACUAUCAAGAGAUGACAUGGACUUCAAGGAUCAAACAGGGGAGAAAAAGGCUUAAAAGAAAAACAAGUCUCCAUCAAAGGUAAUAACCACAAUGAGAACUAUACAUAGCUAUGUGCUUAUAGGUCUUAGUUCACAUUCCCCUCAUUAAAAUUAUAGCUCAAGAAAUAAAGGGCUGUUUAAUGACUUGGGUAUAUAAAUAUACUUCAUUUGUAUAUUUUUUACUUGCUAAAAUCUAUCCAAAUUGGUAUUACCUCAAACCAUAAUCUUCUACUGUAUUUUAUAAUUUUACUUUAUUGCCAUGUAUUUUUCCCACUGAUGUUCACAAAUUCACAGGAAACAUCAGCCAUGUACUAAAUAAAAUAUGAAUUGAAUCG